GUCUGUUUGUGGUCAUUUUGAUGCUAACAUGCUAACACCAACAUAUAGGCCUGUUAGGGAGCCAACAUGUUCUCUUUACAGACAUGUCUAUAGCCUGUAUUUGUUUACAUUUAAUUAACAGCAGCCGAACCAGCAGUCAGCAGCUCCUGUCUGCAGUGGACCCGUGGACGGACAGACAGCUGUCUCUGGAUCACUGUGAGACUGAAGGAAACUUAGAAACAGCAGGAUUCUCAGGCAGGUUCUGCAGCCGCUUUCUUCUCUGGCGUCUCAGCUGGUUUCUGGAGGUUUAUUCUGGACGGACGUCAGAGACGAUGACGUCCUCUGGAAGUGCGAGUCGCGCUGAACGAUUCGAUACUUUCGCUCUGCCAGUGACUACCGCCUCAGCCUGCCCUUCAGAUCACCCGGGCCUCAGCUACCUCGCCACUUUCGCCAUCCAGCCGAUCUUCGCCUCCGGACACUGCCGGCCAUCCACACCACGCGCCUGGCUCCAGUGAUCCUCCGCCUGGUCGGCUCAGUCUUCCCGCUUCUACGCUCGGCAGCCCGGAGCCUGCUCACCUCGUCUCCGUCCGGAGUGCCGUCAGUCACGCCUCCACCUCGGCUCUGCCGGAUCCUCGGAGAGGCCACGGGUGACGCCGGACUUAGUAUUCAUCAGUGUCAAUAAUAAUCUGCACAAUAAAAACCGUCACGUUCAUCCAGCCGUUUACUAGGAGUUCCUGCAUUUGGGUCCUAGAAAAUAGUCUGUUCUUGACAGUUGCUGUGCUUGAUGAAGGUUGCUCUCCUCGCCCUGAUCUCAUUCUCUCUGUAGACGGCUCAGCAUCACGCAAUCCUGUCACUGGACGAAAUCGAGUGGGUUUUGCUGUUGUCACACAACAUGAGGUGUUGAAAUCUGACUCCUUACCUUCUCAUUACUCAGCACAAGCUGCAGAGCUAGUUGCACUUACUGAAGCAUGCAGAUUGGCUGAGAAUAAAACUGUUAGAGUUUGGACAGACUCCAAGUAUGCAUUUUCUGUUUGCCGUGAUUAUGGAGCUCUGUAGAAACAGAACAUUUCUUAAAUCUGGUGGCAGCCCUAUCCUUCACCACGACAAAGGGGCAGCAUUGUUAGAUGCUAUUCGCUUACCACAAGCUGUAUGGAAAUGCCGAGCUCACACUAACCAUGCUGACUCAGUUUCUACAGGACAUCCUAACCCAUCGUUUAGAUAACAAGAAUUAAUGUUUAAAGUAUUUCUCAAUUUCUAACCUCUACUGUCCUCAUAUCUGCCGCUCAUUUUCGGAAGGACUGCAAACUCUGCCCCUCUGAUAACAGAGUCAGUCGCACCAGAAUCCACAAGAAAAACAAUAUCUCCACAUCGAUUGUGUUCAGGCAUGCGUUUGUAUGCAUCGUGUGUAUAUUCGGUGUAUAUCUCUGCUGGCGCUGUGUCAUCAGUGGCUUGUGUGUGCUCAAGGUAAGAGAUAGCCGCACUUAUCAAUGUCUGAGUGUGUGGUGGUGUCUCACAUGCUUGUGCAGGAGUGUGUAUCAGUGUGUGUUCACAUGCUCUGUUGUGUCAGCGUGGGUGCUCUUACGUAACUGAAGAAUGCAAUUCAAGCCGGCCCCUUCCCGACCUGGCGUCGACACCCCGUCUAGUCAGUCAGCCUGACCGUGAUUCUCGGGGCAAUCCUUUGCCCAAUGUCCCAUUUUACAUUUGAAACAAGCGUCUCUUCCUCCUCGUCCUCGUCGGCCUUGGCCACGGCCUCUGUUCUGAUUCUCGUACGCCCUCAGCUGCGCCAUCUGUAAUCUGUCCGCCAGCUGCGUACUUUUCCUCUUUUGCUUGUCUUUGAGGAAUUUUUCUGCAUGGAGAGCGUGUCUCUCUACGGUCUCCAGGUUACCAAACUCCCAGGUCACACAGUCGCGUUUCACCGUGUCCGCGAUCUCAGGGUGGAUGCCAUUGAUGAAACGGUCACGUAGCUGUACUUCCUAGUGGGUGAUCGUGUUAUUACUCUCCUCACAGAUGCAGGAGCAUCAGCCUCGCUCACAGCAACGCAACAGUUUUCUACUGCAGAAGAAAGACAUCUUUGGAAGAAAAAUGUCUGUACAUUUAAGAUUGAAGAUUUUAGAUUGGUUUGGCCCCAAUGAUAAACCUUGCCUACCAAAACAUUUCUUUGCCCAUUUUGCCAAGUUGACUCAUGGAUUAGCCCACGUGUCACAAGGAGGGAUGUUUGAUCUCAUUCAGCAACAUUGGUUCACAAAAGGCUGCGCAGCCUAUGCUCAAAAAUGUUGCCAGUCCUGUCUCGUGUGUGAAUCUCACAACACCGGCAGAGGCAUAAAACAGGUUCAAGCUGCACUUCCACAACCAGAUAAACCAUUUGAUCAUGUGAUGAUUGAUUUCAUUGAACUAACUCCCAGCGAAGGCAAAAGAUAUUGCCUUGUAAUGGUCGACAUGUUUUCCAAGUGGGUGGAAGCGCUGCAGCAUUAUUAACAGAUGCCAAUACCUGACUACUUGGACGGUGACUGCAAAGAGGACUCUGACGAACAUGAAUAAAUAUUAGUGUUUUUAAUGAUCCUUCCAGCUUGCUAAUUAUCAGGGAACGUCUUUGUUCUAUUUGAAUUUCACAUUCCACGUUAAUGAUAUUAGAUUCCAAGUCUGAUGUUAGUGUUCUGUUGUGCAUACUUUUUGUGAUCAAUGACUGAUCAAAAGGGAGAAGUGUAAUGGAAAAAUAUUUAACCGCGACAUACAGCAUUACUGGACAAUGUGGCUUAGCAAGACGUCAGAGUUGAUAAUCAGAAGGAACAUUGAGCCAAAGGAUUCUGGACGGCCCACACCUGCGACACUUUUUUGAUGCAAGUGAAGCAGGAUCUGACACCGUCAGUUACGUGAGGAUGGAGAAUAACGUCGCCUUCCUGCUCGGCGAAGCAGGAGUUACGCCGCUGAAGCAGGUCACCGUUCCACGCCUGGAGCUUUCAGCUGCAGUUCCUGCUGUCCGUGUGGACAGUCUUUGGGACAGAUAGCACCUGGUGCUGAAGUACUAAAGUAAUGAGAACAGUCGCUUUAAUACCUUUGUGUCAAACAGGGUUUCAACCAUCAGAGACACUACAAAUGUGUCACAAUAGAGGUAUGUCAAUACUGAAGACAAUCCGGCAGACGAUGCGUCCAGAGGUAUGAAAGUUGAUGACCUACUGAUUGGCAGAUGGAUAAAAGGGCCCAACUUUCUUGGGAAGCCAGAGAAGUAUUGGCCAGAAAAAACUGUGGAGAUCACAUUUCAUUGGAUGACCCAGAAGUCAAGAAAGACUGAACUGCGAAUGCUGUAAUUGUCCAGGACUCGCCUAAUGCUUUUGACCAACUGAUCACUUCUCCGACUGGAGGAGGCUCAAGGCUGCAGUUGCCUGCUUCCUCAAGGCAAAGAGGAUGCGAAUAACCCAUCCACUCAUAUGCAGUGGGAGAUGAAGAAGGUCAGAGUGUCUCAUCAGAUGACCUUUUGGAGGCAGAAAUGUUCAUCAUUCGCUACACUCAGCAGCAGCGGUUCACGGAGGAAACCCAUCUGGAAAGUCUGCAGUCAGAAAGGAAAGCACACAACUAAGGAGGAAGUACCGGAUUACAAAUGCUAAUUCAGCCAUAAGGAAAACCAUGUCUGACUGCUGUACUUGUAGACGCUACACUGUAAGAGCAGGUGAGCAAUAAAUGGCGGACCUGCCAGAGGAAAGGAUUUCGCCUGAUGUCCAUUUACGAGUGUUGGAGUUGACUAGAGAGGGAGAGGCCUGUGUAAUUAUGGAGUGAUUUUACCGAGAGGUGGCGAACUCACCGGACACCCACGCAUGCAUUAAUGCUCUGCGACGAUUUAUGAGCAGAGGAGGCCACGUUUCUCACAUGCGAUCUGACAAUGGCACCAAGUUAGUUGGCGCAGAAAGAGAACUAAGGGAUUAAAUCACAGCUAAAUACAGGGAGCACCACUUCAGCAUCACACUGCGGUGGUGUCCGAAGGUGCUCAGCUCCACUCUGCGUCAGCAGACACUGGGCGAUGAUGGAUUUCAUACAGUUCUCUGUGAAGCCGAGGCCAUCACUGAGCCGUCUGAGGAUCCCAGUGAUGCCGGACCUCAUGAGAGCCUGAUCUGUAUGUGAAAGAAGGUGGAGACCUGUCCCGUUUAUCUCAGACGUAUUCUGGAAACAACGGGUACAGGAGUACCGUCCCGAGCUUCAGGAAAUCUGCAAUCUCUUUCUACAACCGCCGACCUUCCGGUUAGCGGACGACCCGCUCCACCUCUAAGCCACAGCCGCCCAACAAACAAAAGCUCCUUCGUUUAGUUUCUGUGCUCCACAUAUCUGGAACAAACUCCAGAUCUUUUAAAUCGAGGCUGAAGACUUUUGUGUUUGCCGCUUUUAUUAAAUCAGAUCAUGAUUCAUUUCUCACACUGCGCUGUAACUGUGACUCUCCUGUCUUAACGUUUUAUCUUCUAUUUAACUCGUGUUUUAAAUGUCUUUUUUAUUUACAUGUUGCUUUUGUGUAAAGCACUUUGAAUUGCCUUGUUGUUGAAAUGUGCCACAAAUAAACUUGCCUUGCCUCCUGUUAGGUUGAUGCCAUCUCUUAUGUUGUGACAGUGAAGCAGUGGUGAUGUCAGGUGUGCGUAAACUCGCUGUUGACGCGUUCAGGUGACGCACCGUAUUUUUCCCGUGAUGAUUCAACACUGAACAACAAAUCCAUGUUGAAAUCAUAGAAAUAAACUAAAGAAACCUGUUUGUUACCGUCUGCACACAGACUGUGUCUCUCCAGCACCAAACGGGAAGCAGCAAACCGGGUAGCUACUAUGGUAACGGGCGAAAAAACUCCUCAAAUACCGUCUCUCACACGCACAACUAACAGCGUUAAGAGUCUGUGUUGAAUUUGGCGUGUCUGUAUGGAUUAUAUUGAUGCCACAUUAAGACAUAUGACGCCUUCAUCGCGUCCUAACACUACUACUCCAACCUUUCCUAACGCAGGAACCUCGCCCUGCAGCCCGGCCACCGGUCUCCACCGCCGGCAGCCGUGGCCACCGGUCUCCACCGCCGGCAGCCCUGGCCACCGGUCUCCACCGCCGGCAGCCCUGGCCACCGGUCUCCACCGCCGGCAGCCCUGGCCGGCCCUCUGCGAGGCCUGGCCUGUUAGACACUGCGGGAGCAUCUUUGGUGAAGCCUCAACGCUCAGAAACCCUCGUUUAAAUUUGUAAAACCUUGAUUUUAUUUGUGAAAAUGCAAAAAGGGCGAUUUUUUCACACAUAAACCGCAUUGGACCAGGUCCAGAUAAAAACCACUAUACCUAGGCUGUCAGACUUGGACUAGAUUAUCCAGAGAGGCUAAAGAUGCUUUAACUGGUUACAACUCAUACGUUACUAAUAACGGCCCCUAUUAUUUCCCUUUAACUGUGUUUUAGCGGUUCAUACAGGAUUAACAAACAGAUUUACUAUUAAUUAAAUGACCACUAACUAAAUGCGACACAGUGAACCUGGAGCCUUCGGGGCCCCUGGCGGUCUGGGGCCCCUGGGGGUCUGGGGUUGUUUGCUUGGAUUGCGUGUCCACAAACUCAAAGAACAACUGGACAGAUGAAAGCCAAUUUUAUUGAUCAAGUAACAUAAAUAGGACAAAUGUUUCACUGUACACACAACCUGGAGACCAAAGUAAAAAUAAAUAGUGUCACAGUAAUAAAUUAAACGCAUGAAACGGACCAAUAGACUGUUAGCAUUGAGUCUGUGACACGAGACGCUGAGUCGCGUUGGUCUCUGAGGACGACAGUGCAGUUCAAUGGCUAUUUACACACAUUUUAUUUUACACGUUUUUCAUUUUCAGGAGCCGACGUUUCAUUUCACUCGUCUGUCUGCAGUUCACAUUUGUGUUUUUACAACUUCAAUAACUUCAGCAACAAUUUAAAAAACUAAGAAAAGCAAAAAGCAGCGGCUGAUUAUUAAACUUUGAGUUACAUGUUACAACAGCAUCGUCACAGCUAUCAACGUUUCUUCAAUACGAGUUCAGUAUCAAAUACUUCAGUCAGCAGGUUACAAAAAUAUCACACUUUGUUUUUUUUAAACGAGCGUCUUCAGUUCCUACAGCACCGAGCCGUCAGUGAACGCAGCAGCUCUCAACCCUCUUCAGUCCCAGAACAGGUCGACCUUUGACCCCGUGCGAGGAUGUUUUAACCCUUUCAGCCUGCUGGAAGAUGAAGAACUGUUGUUGCCAUUUAAUAUUUGGGACACUGAAUGCCACAAACUCUUGUAUCUGUUCUGUUCUCGCGUUAUUUAAAUAUAAGUUUGUAUAUAACGUGAAAAGUUUUUUUUUCGCCUAAUAUAAAAAGUCACUGAUUCUGGUUCCCGCUGAUGUCUCUUGUUUAGUUUUUAACUCCAAUAAUCAGGAUUUAUUGAUCAGGUUCUGUUAGAGAUAAUGUCGUAACGUAAACAUAACUACAAAUGGCAACACUGGACAAAAUUAUCUCGAGUCAAGGUCCACUUACAGGCUUUUACGCAUCUAGAAAGUGGACCUGGAUCAGGAUUUAUUGAUCAGGUUCUUGUUCGGUCUGUUUCAACACAGCCAGGAGACCACACAAUGCUCAAGUCUUUAUUUUAGGGUAACGAGAUGGUUAAAUUAAAUACGAGCCUCAUUUUGUAUUCGGAUCUAAAGAAAUCACGCACUCUUGGCUCCUCCAGCCUCCGAAAACAAAAUCAGUCUCUCAGAGAUUUUCCAGACUGUCGGGUUGAGAGCUGCUGAACCGAACCUCCGGUCUCAGAUUCAGACCUCAGAUCCAGAUCCUUGAGCUCUCCUUCAGUUUCAGUUUCGUGUGCGUACAAUCACAGCGGGGCGCCCGACAGCAGACGCCCCACCGGAGGUGAAGAGGAAACUAAA
Siniperca chuatsi (mandarin fish) is the source of this 6837-nucleotide long non-coding RNA. RefSeq lists it as uncharacterized. Lineage: Eukaryota; Metazoa; Chordata; Actinopteri; Centrarchiformes; Sinipercidae. The record is from RefSeq and is a predicted model, not a curated record. The transcript has 2 exons.